AUUAAUCUCAAUCUAUCGUAGUUAGAAGAAAUAGGUUCAACUAGACAAAGAUUCGGCUUCCUAAACCACAGGUAUGAAGGUUUCGACUUUUUAAAGAAAAAAUGAAAGAGUUUCGGCUAUAGCAAGAUUCAACCUCCUAGAUGUGAGGGAAAGAAAUGAAGAGAAAAAGAAGAGAAAUAUGAAAGAUUUAGGUUCAGCCAAGGGGUAAUCGGCAG
RNAcentral lists this long non-coding RNA (215 nucleotides) under Gossypium barbadense (sea-island cotton). Its description in RNAcentral is "long non-coding RNA (GBAR_LNC010498)". Lineage: Eukaryota; Viridiplantae; Streptophyta; Magnoliopsida; Malvales; Malvaceae. The record is from RNAcentral.